RNAcentral lists this ribosomal RNA (500 nucleotides) under uncultured bacterium. RNAcentral describes it as "partial 16S ribosomal RNA". It matches the Rfam family "Bacterial small subunit ribosomal RNA", at positions 28 to 507 of the family's 1533-position model. The record is from RNAcentral.
GACGAACGCUGGCGGCGUGCUUAACACAUGCAAGUCGAACGGGUCUGCCCUGUUUUUUGCGGGGUGGGUCAGUGGCGAACGGGUGAGUAACACGUGAGUAACCUGCCCCUCACUUCUGGAUAACCGCUUGAAAGGGUGGCUAAUACGGGGUGUUCUGGCUGUGCCGCAUGGUGUGGCUGGGAAAGAUUCACUUUUGUGGUGUUUUGGUGGGGGAUGGGCUCGCGGCCUAUCAGCUUGUUGGUGGGGUGAUGGCCUGCCAAGGCUUUGACGGGUAGCCGGCCUGAGAGGGUGGGCGGUCACACUGGGACUGAGAUACGGCCCAGACUCCUGCGGGAGGCAGCAGUGGGGGGUAGUGCACAAUGGGCGGAAGCCUGGUGCAGCGACGUCGCGUGAGGGAUGGAGGCCUUCGGGUUGUGAACCUCUUUCGCCGGUGAAGAAGGUCCUGCUCUUUGUGGUGGGGUUGACGGUAGCCGGGUUAUGAAGCGCCGGCUAACUACGUG